GGCCGCGGGAAUUCGAUUCAGGCCUAACACAUGCAAGUCGAGCGGUAGAGAGAAGCUUGCUUCUCUUGAGAACGGCGGACGGGUGAGUAAUGCCUAGGAAUCUGCCUGGUAGUGGGGGAUAACGUUCGGAAACGGACGCUAAUACCGCAUACGUCCUACGGGAGAAAGCAGGGGACCUUCGGGCCUUGCGCUAUCAGAUGAGCCUAGGUCGGAUUAGCUAGUUGGUGAGGUAAUGGCUCACCAAGGCUACGAUCCGUAACUGGUCUGAGAGGAUGAUCAGUCACACUGGAACGGAGACACGGUCCAGACUCCUACGGGAGGCAGCAGUGGGGAAUAUUGGCCAAUGGGCGAAAGCCUGAU
RNAcentral lists this ribosomal RNA (360 nucleotides) under uncultured bacterium. Its description in RNAcentral is "bacterial SSU rRNA". It matches the Rfam family "Bacterial small subunit ribosomal RNA", at positions 43 to 387 of the family's 1533-position model. The record is from RNAcentral.